UGAGCCAAGUUUAGGGUUUUCUCAAAACCCAAGCAGUAUUGAACUGAAGAGUUUGAUCAUGGCUCAGAUUGAACGCUGGCGGCAGGC
Molecule: ribosomal RNA, 87 nt
Filed under: Pseudomonas aeruginosa
Lineage: Bacteria; Pseudomonadati; Pseudomonadota; Gammaproteobacteria; Pseudomonadales; Pseudomonadaceae
Also listed under: 1 other name
Description: partial 16S ribosomal RNA
Source: RNAcentral